UCCCUGGAGGACCAGUGGUUAGGCAGCAGCACUCUCACUGCUGUGGCCCGGGUUCAAUUCCUGGCCAGGGAC
This 72-nucleotide transfer RNA is filed under the name Pangasianodon hypophthalmus (striped catfish). It matches the Rfam family "tRNA". Rfam says of the family: Transfer RNA (tRNA) molecules are approximately 80 nucleotides in length. Their secondary structure includes four short double-helical elements and three loops (D, anti-codon, and T loops). Further hydrogen bonds mediate the characteristic L-shaped molecular structure. tRNAs have two regions of fundamental functional importance: the anti-codon, which is responsible for specific mRNA codon recognition, and the 3' end, to which the tRNAs corresponding amino acid is attached (by aminoacyl-tRNA synthetases). tRNAs cope with the degeneracy of the genetic code in two manners: having more than one tRNA (with a specific anti-codon) for a particular amino acid; and 'wobble' base-pairing, i.e. permitting non-standard base-pairing at the 3rd anti-codon position. Lineage: Eukaryota; Metazoa; Chordata; Actinopteri; Siluriformes; Pangasiidae. The record is from Rfam by way of RNAcentral.